UGAGCAAUCUGCCCUUCUCAUCGGAAUAAGCGUUGGAAACGACGUCUAAUGCCGAAUACGACCUCCUUUCGCAUGAUCGGAGGUGGAAAGCUCCGGCGGAGAAGGAUGAGCUCGCGGCCUAUCAGCUAGUUGGUGUGGGUAAUGGCCCACCAAGGCGACGACGGGUAGCCGGCCUGAGAGGGUGAGCGGCCACACUGGGACUGAGACACGGCCCAGACUCCUAGGGAGG
RNAcentral lists this ribosomal RNA (229 nucleotides) under uncultured bacterium. RNAcentral describes it as "partial 16S ribosomal RNA". It matches the Rfam family "Bacterial small subunit ribosomal RNA", at positions 118 to 348 of the family's 1533-position model. The record is from RNAcentral.